CCCUUAGAUGUUCUGGGCUGCACGCGCGCUACACUGGUGCGUUCAGCGAGUUUAGCACCUUAACAGAUAUGUUUGGGUAAUCUUCUGAAAACGCACCGUGAUGGGGAUCGAUUAUUGUAAUUAUUAAUCGUCAACGAGGAAUUCCUAGUAAGUGUGAAUCAUCAGUUCGCGCUGAUUACGUCCCUGCCCUUUGUACACACCGCCCGUCGCUGCUACCGAUUGAGUGGUCCGGUGAAUUAUUCGGACCGGUGGACUGUGGGGAAACCCGCGGCCUGCUGGGGAGUCUUGUGAACCUUAUCACUUAGAGGAAGCAGAAGUCGUAACA
RNAcentral lists this ribosomal RNA (325 nucleotides) under uncultured eukaryote. RNAcentral describes it as "partial 18S ribosomal RNA". It matches the Rfam family "Eukaryotic small subunit ribosomal RNA", at positions 1470 to 1796 of the family's 1831-position model. The record is from RNAcentral.